GGCGGCGUGCUUAACACAUGCAAGUCGAACGCUGAAGCCCGCUUCGGUGGGUGGAUGAGUGGCGAACGGGUGAGUAACACGUGGGUAAUCUGCCCUGCACUCUGGGAUAAGCCUUGGAAACGGGGUCUAAUACCGGAUAGGACGCAUGGCCGCAUGGUCUGUGUGUGGAAAGUUCCGGCGGUGUAGGUUGAGCCCGCGGCCUAUCAGCUUGUUGGUGGGGUGAUGGCCUACCAAGGCGACGACGGGUAGCCGGCCUGAGAGGGUGACCGGCCACACUGGGACUGAGACACGGCCCAGACUCCUACGGGAGGCAGCAGUGGGGAAUUUUCCGCAAUGGGCGAAAGCCUGACGGAGCAAUGCCGCGUGGAGGUGGAAGGCCUACGGGUCGUCAACUUCUUU
Molecule: ribosomal RNA, 399 nt
Filed under: uncultured bacterium
Lineage: Bacteria
Description: bacterial SSU rRNA
Rfam family: Bacterial small subunit ribosomal RNA
Source: RNAcentral